This 229-nucleotide ribosomal RNA is filed under the name uncultured bacterium. RNAcentral describes it as "partial 16S ribosomal RNA". It matches the Rfam family "Bacterial small subunit ribosomal RNA", at positions 15 to 236 of the family's 1533-position model. The record is from RNAcentral.
GAUCAUGGCUCAGGAUGAACGCUAGCUACAGGCUUAACACAUGCAAGUCGAGGGGAAACGACAUCGAAAGCUUGCUUUUGAUGGGCGUCGACCGGCGCACGGGUGAGUAACGCGUAUCCAACCUGCCCACCACUUGGGGGAUAACCUUGCGAAGUAAGACUAAUACCCAAUGAUAUCUCUAGAAGACAUCUGAAGGGAUUAAGAUUAUCGGUGAUGGAUGGGGAUGCGU